GCCAUGCUUGGGGUGAAUGCUUGCCACGGGAGGAACCUGAAAGAGGCUGCUGCGUGUACCCCUCAGACAAGUUCCUGUGGGAGAAAUACCAGCCAGGAGCUGUCAUGUCACCAGGCAGCUCCCUGCUGGGGAUGAGCUGGAGGUCAGGACGACAAAAAGCACCUCACCCAACCUCUUGCCCUCUGGGUACAUCACACACCGGGCAGCACUGCCGGGCUGCCACAGGGCCCAGAGUACACCAAGAAACAGAAGUACUGAUAUCCUCUGCUGAAAUUUCCUGUCGAAGCUGCCACCCACCUGUGGUUCAAUAAACACCAGCCACCUCUCAAGCAAAGUUUGUCACAACAUAAUCUUCUCUCAUCCCUUGAUCUCCACUAGCUGUGGCUGCUCUUGUUCUGGAAACUACUCUCAUUUCUGUUCUACUGGGCACAAAAUUGGCUUUCCCAGUGGAUGCAGAACCUUAGUAACCCUUGGACCUCACAUCUCUCCCUUCUCACAGAGUCACAGAAUCAUUUAGACUGAAAAACACCUCCAAGAUCAAGUCCAGCCAUCAACCCAGCACUGCCAUGUUCACCACACGUUUUGAUUUGUGUCACGGGGUUUGACUGCCCUGAGGACAACAAAACCAGCACAUGUCCAUCUGGUGGUGAAGUGUGGGAGAGGCUGUGGCAAAAGGCUCAGUGCAGCAGCGUGACUCCCAGCUUCCCUGCGUGGGGGAUCCUGCAAAGUCCACAGCCGGUUUGGCAAACAGCCCACGGGGCCAUCUAUGUCUCCAGGAAUCACAGCCCUGCUCCAAUGCUCCGGCUCGAGAAAUUGGUCUAAUUAGAGACGAGUGAAAUGCUUCUCCUGCUUGGAGAGCCUCAGGUCCCCAGCCCACUUAAAGCUCCACAUAAGACCAUUAGCACGACAACGUGUCUCCCCAGAACGACGCAUCCGCUCGCGCGCUUGGCAGGCGGCCGACCAGAUGUAGCCAGGCUGUCCGGAGGUGCCAAGCAUAACAAUUAACAGCGCCUUCCUGGUGGGGCUGGCAAUGGCAGCUGCAAACUGCAGGCGCCUUCGGCCGCCCACCUUGCUUCCAGGCACGGCAUAGUCCUCUUCUCCACUCCAAGAGACACUGCCGGGGCUCAAGGAGAUCACAGCAAGGGUCUCUUGGUGCCAAACAGCUUCAGGACCUCGGUGACUUACCAAAAUGAAGUCCCAUGGUGAAGAGCACCAGCUAAUAAUGUGCCUCAGCUAAAUCACUGAAUAUUGUACCUUAUUUCUGCCUAAGUGCUGUAUCGCUUGGGGUUUUUUACAUGAUGAAGCGAGCUGCAGUUCUGCAAACACAGAGUCACUUCAAGCAGGUGAACAGCCCUUUGGAGUUUGGGAGGGAGGCUGCCACGUUCCUUGCUUGCUGCAGCAGGCACAAGCUGCUUUAUUAGGUCUUAAUUACAUCCUUGCUAUCCGAAAUUCUUAAAUUUGCCACUAAAGACAGACAGAAACAAAAAUGUCACACUUUUGCAGUUCAGAUAUUUGCAGCUAUGAAUAAUACACUCACGCACUCAUUUACUAAUGGAUACACUUCUCCUCUAAUUUCUUUCCCCCUCCAGACAUUUGCAAAAGCUCUUUUCAUAUUCCCACUACAUCUUUAGCAAGCAGUGAGAGCAGUAAGCCAUUCUGUUUUGUUGCUCUUAUCUCUUCUCUGAAAGCUUUUAUUGACUGCAUGUUGGUUUUGUCUCCUCACCUUUUCCAUUUCCUAUCUAGCCCUUUUUUUUUCCUUUUUUAUUUUUUUGUUACUUUGCUAUUGUUGUUUCUAGCCUUCAGAUCUCCAAGAAGUCCCUUGUGGAGCUAUUUUGGUUAUUCCUCAGUGCAGCAGCUGAGAAAUCCUGGAAGAGGUAACAACAGGAACAAUAAGAAAAAGCAGAGUUGGUUCCAGAAUUCAUUUGGAUUAAGGGGUGGGGAGUUCAGUAAAUUAUUGAACUACCUGAAAGAAGAAUUCAUAUCAAAACCUAUUUUGCCUUAGUGCCUGACUCUCAUUUGCAUUUAAGAGCUGUCAGUAUUUUAGGGGUGAGCUCUGAAGCUGCUUCUCUAUAUGUUUCUUGCUUCAAAGAGAGGGAUGAGCCACUUCUCUCCCUACAUAGCAAGUGUCUGCAGGGCUGGGGCCAUCCUCCACGCUGAACCAAUGAGCAGUGCCUGGCAAGCCCAUUUAGAGAUGAGCUUCUGUUUCUGCCCUCACCCUGCAGCAGCACCCACAGCAAACCUUUAGCCAAGGCUACACUGGGUGACCCAGCCAGUUUGCUCCACUUUGCCUAAAACUAGGCACAGAGGAAUCCCUUUCCUGGCACAGGUGGCCCUAGCACAGCAGGUCUGGAGAUUUGCUGGAGACAAAGGCCUUGGGGCUCUCCCCUCCCCUUGUACCCAUGUGCACAGGGUAACCCUCUCCCUAGCUGUAUGAGCAGGACCCUGACCAUCCAGAGGUCAUGGAUGCACCGGGCCUUUGGCCAUUUUGCUGAGCGGGUUUGCAGCCAAGACAGGCGUCGAGGGGCUCUGGCAGCAACAAAGGCAGGAGGAGCCCCGAGCACACAGGCAAACAAGAGCAGCUACCUGUUGUGCUUCAAUGCCAGCUGCCGUGGGAGCCGCUGGAGUGAGGGACUUUCCAAAUCUCUGAGGCAUGAAACCACUAAUAGCUCAGUUUUGAUUCCACUACUUUGAAAGGAGUCCUGAAUUUUCCAAAGCAACCAACUCUCAUCAGAGGUUGGAGGUUGCCGCCUCUGCCCAUUUUCACUUUGGUUGAGAACUCUCUGAAUUGUGUGUCCAGAAAUGCCCAACUACCUCAAGGAACCUCAGUUUUAGGUGACUGGGCUUGUGGCUGCUUUUGGAAACAAGCCGCAGUGGCUUCCCAAGAUAUUUUGGUGGCUGAUGGCGACCUCAGUGCUGUAGUAACCACACGGGUUUUGUGCAGAAGCAUUUCUGUAAUUUCUGGAGUGUGUGGUAUGAGGUUGUCUACCCUUCCAGAACCUCUCACUCUCUGAGUCUUGACUUCCCUUGUUACCAGUCCUUUGGACAUCAAAGCAGCUGGUUCACUGAGGAUCUUGCUCUGCAGAAAGGACCUGGUGUUGUUCUCCACUAUCAAUAGUUUUUUGUAAGGAAGAGAAAAACUCUUUUCCCAGCUCAGGCAAAACUAGCAGAAGAAAUGCAGAGUUUCUAGGUCAUGCUGUUUCUGAGAGAUGAGACAAAAAGAGAAAACAGCUUAGAAGACUCUUGAAACACCUAGCAGCCCGAGGGCCAGUGGCCAAGCAUUGCACAUCCCAGAAGACUGAAUCCUCUCUCACCUGCCUUGGAAACACCUUGUCCCUUCUCACAGGGCUCCUGCUGUUUGCACCCAGCCAGCCAGGGAAGUGGAAGAUUCACCUCCAAGCAAGAAGCUGUAGUGUUGCCUCCGUCCUAUCUGCCCUGGCUCUCUGGAGCAUUCCUAGCCUCUUUCUUUCCAUGCUCCACUGGAGUCUAAUCCUGCAUGCAGAAAAUUCCUCAUGCAUUUUGCUCUUAUUCCUUCAGGGCAUCUGUUUUCUCUUUCAUUCUGUCUGGCUGUUCAGCAGCCUGAACUCAGUUACUGUAAUCCCUCCAUCUUCAGUGAUGUUCUCAGCUCCACAUAAUAAAUAUUAACAGCUUA
Long non-coding RNA from Cyanistes caeruleus (blue tit), 3649 nucleotides. RefSeq lists it as uncharacterized. The record is from RefSeq and is a predicted model, not a curated record. Lineage: Eukaryota; Metazoa; Chordata; Aves; Passeriformes; Paridae.